UGGGGAAUAUUGGACAAUGGGCGCAAGCCUGAUCCAGCAAUGCCGCGUGGGUGAAGAAGGUCUUCGGAUCGUAAAGCCCUUUCGACAGGGACGAUGAUGACGGUACCUGUAGAAGAAGCCCCGGCUAACUUCGUGCCAGCAGCCGCGGUAAUACGAAGGGGGCUAGCGUUGCUCGGAAUUACUGGGCGUAAAGGGCGCGUAGGCGGCUUAGUCAGUCAGGCGUGAAAUUCCUGGGCUUAACCUGGGGGCUGCGUUUGAGACGGCUGAGCUAGAGGGUAGGAGAGGGUCGUGGAAUUCCCAGUGUAGAGGUGAAAUUCGUAGAUAUUGGGAAGAACACCGGUGGCGAAGGCGGCGACCUGGCCUAUUACUGACGCUGAGGCGCGACAGCGUGGGGAGCAAA
This 400-nucleotide ribosomal RNA is filed under the name uncultured bacterium. RNAcentral's name for it is "bacterial SSU rRNA". It matches the Rfam family "Bacterial small subunit ribosomal RNA", at positions 355 to 772 of the family's 1533-position model. The record is from RNAcentral.